This 521-nucleotide ribosomal RNA is filed under the name uncultured bacterium. RNAcentral describes it as "bacterial SSU rRNA". It matches the Rfam family "Archaeal small subunit ribosomal RNA", at positions 345 to 866 of the family's 1478-position model. The record is from RNAcentral.
AACCUCCGCAAUGUGAGAAAUCGCGACGGGGGGAUCCCAAGUGCCAUUCUUAACGGGAUGGCUUUUCAUUAGUGUAAAGAGCUUUUGGAAUAAGGGCUGGGCAAGACCGGUGCCAGCCGCCGCGGUAACACCGGCAGCUCUAGUGGUAGCAGUUUUUAUUGGGCCUAAAGCGUCCGUAGCCGGUUUAAUAAGUCUCUGGUGAAAUCCUGUAGCUUAACUGUGGGAACUGCUGGAGAUACUAUUAGACUUGAGACCGGGAGAGGUUAGAGGUACUCCCAGGGUAGAGGUGAAAUUCUGUAAUCCUGGGAGGACCGCCUGUUGCGAAGGCGUCUAACUGGAACGGUUCUGACGGUGAGGGACGAAAGUUAGGGGCGCGAACCGGAUUAGAUACCCGGGUAGUCCUAACUGUAAACGAUGCGGACUUGGUGUUGGGGUGGCUUUGAGCUGCUCCAGUGCCGAAGGGAAGCUGUUAAGUCCGCCGCCUGGGAAGUACGGUCGCAAGACUGAAACUUAAAGGAAUU